UGAUGAAUCAGUUUCGAUUCAGUUUCUUCAUCAUCUAUAAUAGGAUUUUUAGGGAUUCAUAAAUCGAUUUUAGGGUUUGAGUCUGUAUUAUGAUUCGAUUUUAGUUUGUUCGUCGGAGUUCGCACUUGGAAGAACUGAUCUUCACUCUCAGCUAAUCGUGAGAAAGCAUCUGUUCUACUUUGUUUAAUUUAGAUGCAGAUGAGAAUGAAGUUGAUAAGUUAACUGAGAAGCUACAAGGGGUUGGGAUUGGUUCUGGAUUGCUUCUGGUAGUGCUGAUGGUGUUGUUCUAACUACUUCUAAGGUUAAGAAGUAGAGGGAGUAGUCAGUUUUGUGUGGAUGAUGCAUUUGGAAGGGGCUUGAUUGAGUGAUACUGAGAUUAGCAGAAGGAGAAGUUUGCUGGGAAGGCUUAAUGUCGUAUAAGCAAUUUAUUCAAGAGCUUGAAGAUGAUAUACUGCCGGCUGAAGCUGAGCACAGGUAUCAGGAAUACAGAUCAGAGUACAUUUCUACUCAGAAACGUACUUUCUUUGAUGCACACAAGGAUGACGAGUGGCUGAAAGACAAAUAUCACCCAAAAAAUUUAGUAUCAGUUAUUGAAAGGAGAGAUCAGUUUAGGGGUCUUGACAAAGAUAUAUCUCAUGGAUAAGGGUACUGACGCUGUUGAUGGUAAUGUCUUGAUUGACAUUCUUGGGGUUCACCAGAUAUUAGAAUGAAAAUGAUAUCGACUACAGUUCCCUUGGAUUGAUGUUGUUAACCGCUACCAAGACAAUAUUAACAGAAGUGUUGACAUGAUUGCUGCUUGUCGCAGGGAGUGGGAGUAUUCUGCAAGUACCCUUGAUAGCUGGUGCUCUCCAUGUUCGUGCAUUAUUCCAAGAUGCUAAGAAAAAGGUUCCCGAUAGUGGGUAAUGGAAUUACAACAUCAAUGGAGUGAAGCAUAACACUAAUCUGACGUGUGGGAUAAAUCUGGGAUCGAUGGUGACACUGAGAAUAUCAGCUCGUUUGGUGGGGUACCUUCUAUCAAGAAAGGGUUUGAAUAUCCUUGGGCAUGGAAGUCCCCUUGGCUUAUGAACUAUCUAUGAACUGACUGGCAUCUCUGAUUGUUGCUUUUCAAUGUUGUAAGCUUUGUAAGUUAUAAUGUAGGAAGUUUCUAUGAACUCGGCAAGUUUUUUAACUUAGAAUUUGAUACUUACAAAAAAUUUGGUACUUGGAAGAAUUUAUGUUCUUCUUUGAUUGAAAGCUAUAUGAAUUGACUGAAUGUGAUGUGACUGUGAUGGAAUGAAAAGGGUAGG
This is a long non-coding RNA of Papaver somniferum (opium poppy), 1286 nucleotides long. RefSeq lists it as uncharacterized. The transcript is spliced from 10 exons. The record is from RefSeq and is a predicted model, not a curated record. Lineage: Eukaryota; Viridiplantae; Streptophyta; Magnoliopsida; Ranunculales; Papaveraceae.